CCUUAAUUUGCUUCCCGAGUGCUGGGAUAAA
This 31-nucleotide non-coding RNA is filed under the name Mus musculus (house mouse). The record is from RNAcentral. Lineage: Eukaryota; Metazoa; Chordata; Mammalia; Rodentia; Muridae.